GGAAUAUUGGACAAUGGGCGAAAGCCUGAUCCAGCUAUGCCGCGUGGGUGAAGAAGGACUUAGGGUUGUAAACCCCUUUCAGCGGGGAAGAUAAUGACGGUACCCGCAGAAGAAGUCCCGACUAACUCCGUGCCAGCAGCCGCGGUAAUACGGAGGGGACUAGCGUUGUUCGGAAUUACUGGGCGUAAAGCGCACGUAGGCGGAUUUGUAAGUCAGGGGUGAAAUCCCGGGGCUCAACCUCGGAACUGCCUUUGAUACUGCAAAUCUCGAGUCCGGAAGAGGUGAGUGGAAUUCCUAGUGUAGAGGUGAAAUUCGUAGAUAUUAGGAAGAACACCAGUGGCGAAGGCGGCUCACUGGUCCGGUACUGACGCUGAGGUGCGAAAGCGUGGGGAGCAAACA
RNAcentral lists this ribosomal RNA (399 nucleotides) under uncultured bacterium. RNAcentral describes it as "bacterial SSU rRNA". It matches the Rfam family "Bacterial small subunit ribosomal RNA", at positions 358 to 774 of the family's 1533-position model. The record is from RNAcentral.